RNAcentral lists this ribosomal RNA (497 nucleotides) under uncultured bacterium. RNAcentral describes it as "partial 16S ribosomal RNA". It matches the Rfam family "Bacterial small subunit ribosomal RNA", at positions 28 to 507 of the family's 1533-position model. The record is from RNAcentral.
GAUGAACGCUGGCGGCGUGCCUAAUACAUGCAAGUCGAGCGAACAGACGAGGAGCUUGCUCCUCUGACGUUAGCGGCGGACGGGUGAGUAACACGUGGAUAACCUACCUAUAAGACUGGGAUAACUUCGGGAAACCGGAGCUAAUACCGGAUAAUAUAUUGAACCGCAUGGUUCAAUAGUGAAAGACGGUUUUGCUGUCACUUAUAGAUGGAUCCGCGCCGCAUUAGCUAGUUGGUAAGGUAACGGCUUACCAAGGCAACGAUGCGUAGCCGACCUGAGAGGGUGAUCGGCCACACUGGAACUGAGACACGGUCCAGACUCCUACGGGAGGCAGCAGUAGGGAAUCUUCCGCAAUGGGCGAAAGCCUGACGGAGCAACGCCGCGUGAGUGAUGAAGGUCUUCGGAUCGUAAAACUCUGUUACUAGGGAAGAACAAAUGUGUAAGUAACUCUGCACGUCUUGACGGUACCUAAUCAGAAAGCCACGGCUAACUACGUG